GACGAACGCUGGCGGCGUGCCUAACACAUGCAAGUCGAACGGAAAGGCACUGCUUUUGUGCGGUUCUCGAUUGGCGAACGCGUGCGUAUCACGUGUGUAUCCUGCCCUUCACUUUGGGAUAACUUCAGGUAACUGGGGUUAAUAUCGGAUAGCAGCCCCCGCUCCAUGGUGGGCGUUGGAAAGUCUCGGCUGUUGGGGUUGGAUUGGCGGCUUACCGGCUUGUUGGUGGGGGAGUGGCUUACCCAGGCUUUGACGGGUAGCCGGCCUGUGAGGGUGGACGGGGUCAAUACGACUGCGAGACGGCGCAGACUCGAACGGUAGGCAGCGGUGGCGAGUAUGGUACAAUGAGAGGGAGCCUGAGGCGGAGACGCCGCGUGUGGGAUGACGGCCUUCGGGUUGUAAACCGCUUUAGCCUGUGACGAAGCGUGAGUGACGGUAAUGAAUAAAGAAGCACCGGCUAACUACGUG
This 468-nucleotide ribosomal RNA is filed under the name uncultured bacterium. RNAcentral's name for it is "partial 16S ribosomal RNA". It matches the Rfam family "Bacterial small subunit ribosomal RNA", at positions 28 to 507 of the family's 1533-position model. The record is from RNAcentral.